CAACCCUCAAGCCCCCGCUUGGUGUUGGGUGCCGGCGCCGGCGCCUGCGAGUCCGCUCGCAGCAGCGCCCGCCGCCCCCGAAAUUGAUUGGCGGUCUCGUCGCGACCUCCCUUGCGUAGUAACAUACCACCUCGCAUGGCGGAGCGCGGCGCGGCCACGCCGUAAAACAACCCAAUUUCUCAAG
This 184-nucleotide unclassified non-coding RNA is filed under the name Clavicipitaceae sp. RNAcentral describes it as "partial internal transcribed spacer 2". Lineage: Eukaryota; Fungi; Ascomycota; Sordariomycetes; Hypocreales; Clavicipitaceae. The record is from RNAcentral. RNAcentral also lists the same sequence under 2 other names.